RNAcentral lists this ribosomal RNA (504 nucleotides) under uncultured bacterium. RNAcentral describes it as "partial 16S ribosomal RNA". It matches the Rfam family "Bacterial small subunit ribosomal RNA", at positions 28 to 507 of the family's 1533-position model. The record is from RNAcentral.
GACGAACGCUGGCGGCGUGCUUAACACAUGCAAGUCGAACGGUGAAGCGCUUGCCUUUUUGGUGGGUGUGGAUGAGUGGCGAACGGGUGAGUAACACGUGAGUAACCUGCCCUCUUCUUCUGGAUAACCUCAUGAAAGUGGGGCUAAUACGGGGUAUUCCGGUUCUGUCGCAUGGCGGGUUUGGGAAAGAUUGCGCCUUUGGGUGUUUUCGGUGGGGGAUGGGCUCGCGGCCUAUCAGCUUGUUGGUGGGGUGAUGGCCUACCAAGGCGGUGACGGGUAGCCGGCCUGAGAGGGUGGACGGCCACACUGGGACUGAGACACGGCCCAGACUCCUGCGGGAGGCAGCAGUGGGGAAUAUUGCACAAUGGGCGCAAGCCUGAUGCAGCGACGCCGCGUGAGGGAUGGAGGCCUUCGGGUUGUGAACCUCUUUCGCCAGUGAAGCAGGCCUGCUCCUGUGUGGGUGGGUUGACGGUAGCUGGAUAAGAAGCGCCGGCUAACUACGUG